CCGCCGGACGGCGGGCGUGGAGCGGCCGUGGGCGGGCACGAUCCGCCGUGACCUGGUGCCGGCGUUCGGGUCGCUGGCCGCGGU
Molecule: transfer RNA, 84 nt
Filed under: Longimycelium tulufanense
Lineage: Bacteria; Bacillati; Actinomycetota; Actinomycetes; Pseudonocardiales; Pseudonocardiaceae
Description: tRNA-Arg
Source: RNAcentral